UACGUAGGUGGCAAGCGUUGUCCGGAUUUAUUGGGCGUAAAGAGCUCGUAGGCGGUUCGGUAAGUUGGGUGUGAAACCUCCAGGCUCAACCUGGAGACGCCACCCGAUACUGCUGUGACUAGAGUCCGGUAGGGGAGCGUGGAAUUCCUGGUGUAGCGGUGAAAUGCGCAGAUAUCAGGAGGAACACCAGCGGCGAAGGCGGCGCUCUGGGCCGGAACUGACGCUGAGGAGCGAAAGCGUGGGUAGCAAACAGG
RNAcentral lists this ribosomal RNA (254 nucleotides) under uncultured bacterium. RNAcentral describes it as "partial 16S ribosomal RNA". It matches the Rfam family "Bacterial small subunit ribosomal RNA", at positions 524 to 776 of the family's 1533-position model. The record is from RNAcentral.